AGUUUCUGAGGUUUGGAAUAUUCAAACACACACAACUAUUGGAGUGAUAAAUAAUUGGAGACUUCUCUCCGUUGGUUAAACAGAGUACUUUUGCCCUUCCGUCUUUUUCAUCCUUGAACUUUAAAGACUAUCCAGAGGGGAUAAGGAGAUGUUUACGCUACUGCCAAGUGAGAUAAACUAUGGGCGUUUCUUCUUUUUAGGCACUAAAAAAAGAACAAUUAUUUCUAGAAACUAAAAAAAAGACAGAGAGAAGGAAAGGAAGGAAGAAUGGACGGCAGUUGCCUGGUUCGUGGUAUCAAGAUCUGUGCCGUCCAGAGGAAACGACACGAUAGCUACAGAAGAUGGACAAAAGGUGGAAGUGUUGUGAGUGACUGAUGCGGCCAACUUAAGAAGAAAAGUCCCCUUUUCUAGGCCUGUUUUUCCUUUGCAAGGAACCAACAGAGUUUCUCUUCUCCACCUCGGCCCUUCAUCUUACCCCAGGAAGAAUCACCCAGAAACAUUCAGAGCCCUCCCCAAGACUGGUUUUCCAUAGGAUUGGGAAGAAGGUUGGAGAAAUUAUUUGCAGCCAACAUCCCAGCAACCUGGAGCCCCUGAAAUGGUCGUGACUGCCCCAACGAUCAAAACUUCUGUGGACAGCUGUGAAAGCAAAAGAGAAGACUGACCUGAGAAGGACAUUUUGUCCCCUGACUGUUGGUACAGAAUACCUGAGGCAGGAUGUGUGUGUCCAGAGGACACAGCCUGCCAUGUCUGAGGCUAUCCUUCUGCCUAGCAGCCCGGGUUGUGGGGUAAGAGCUGAGGCUGGAUUGGAGAAAUUAGAAUACACUAUAUCUUUUUUCCUUUUGACAGUGCAACCUCUUCCUAGGGAAGGCUCAAAAACCUUGGAUAUCAUAUCAUUCCACAAAAGGAAAGUUUGCUGAGUUUGUUUUUAAUAUAUCAGAAACAUAUGUAUUAAAUUCCGUUAAAAUGCAGAGAACUUUUUAGUAUCAUAGAACUUAGUAAAUAUUUUCCACUUUAAAGUUGUGUCCUUUGACAAGUCAGAGAACACGUCUUUGGUUUCUGUCCCGUAUAUGAGAUAAAUACCACAAAUGUGUUUUGGAAAAGAAAGCAAAUUUAAAAAAGGAAAUAAAGCAAGCCAAAGACCCAUCACAAUUACUACAACAGAAUGAAGAACAAUUGGGUGUAGCAAGAAGGAACUCUUCCUUAGAUCCUAGUAGAUGUGCCGUGGGUAUGGUAAAAGCAUAACGAAACUAGCAAUUUCCACUGGACACUGUGGAGGGGAUGGGGAGAGAAACGGAGAGGGAGGAUGGUGCCUGCUGACUGGAAAGGCCUUACUCCUGCCCUUGGGUUAAGGCUUCCUGGGAGGCCUUCACAUACCACCAAGGAGUUCCAUCCAGGGAUUAUCCAGUUUCCCAUGAUGAUGUUUAAUUUGGGGGUUUUCUCAAUUUUUGAGCCUGAGUCUCUGUUUAUGACUGAGUUCGUGCCAAAUUGUGUUACUUUCCCUGUACCUGGCUAACAGGAGAAGAUCGUUAGUAGACCUGACACAUAAGAGACACGCUGGUAGCAUGCAAAGGCCGAGGAGUUGCACAGGCAGCUGUGGAAGGAGGAUUCACAGAGAAGCAGUAAGAAAUUGGGUCAUCAACCAGCACUCAGUGGCUUGGGCAUGGGGACCCACGAGAACCUGCUGUAGCCUAUGCUCUUGAAGAGCUGAGAUUCAGUUUCAGCAAAACGUCACCAGCUGUCACAUUACGUUAGUGUUCAUUUGAAUUGCACUGGUUUUGUGAUUUCGUUUUCAUUUAAAGUUAUUCUUACUUUAUUGUUGCCUAAGUUGUAUGUAUAUAAGGAGCUAAUAUAUAAAAAUCAUAUUAUAGUAUUUAAACGACAUAAUAAAAAUAGUCUAAGUCAACACUGGA
Molecule: long non-coding RNA, 1910 nt
Organism: Equus caballus (horse)
Lineage: Eukaryota; Metazoa; Chordata; Mammalia; Perissodactyla; Equidae
Source: Ensembl